UAUACUUUUCACAUACAGCAACAUAGUCAGAAAAUUAUUAUGACCAUGUUUCAGGUUUCAUAGUAAGCCUUUUUUGGGGAGAAAUGAAUUAUUGCAGGCCCAAGAGCUAUGUGGCUGCUGAAAGACUACCAAUCUGUGACGGCCCCUCCCUCCAGAUGAGUGCUAUCAAAAACAUGCCCACGCUGUCUGAGCAAAACAAUAGCAAGAAGAGCUUGUUUCCUUACACAAUCCCUGAGAACAAUGUUGAAGAACAGGCUGACUGCAGACUUCAGCCCACAAGAACAUGUUAAGGAGAAAAAAUCUAAAUACAGUUCCAAUAAGAUAUUGCAUCUGACUUGCUAAACUAAAAUAUUUUGUUCUCACAUACUAGAUUUUAAGAAAAAUGUAUGAACAGCUGCUGCAUGUAAGAAUAAUCUACCUAAAGUUUUCUGCACAUAUUAAGGUAAGGCUAGGAACAUUCUUUGCAGCUUGCACCUUCACAGAGGAACUCCUUUCAGCUUCAGGAGCAGUUGAAAGCAUUUACCACCUCAACAAAGUGGGCCUCAGAGACUUAAGUCAGGUGUCUUGAAAAUGGGAGCAUAUAGCAGAAGCUGUAAUUUGGCAGAGGCAAAGAAGAGCUUGCUUAACACAGUACACAGCUCUACCUAUCUCAAACGUUUUCACUGCUUCCCACUCUGCCUGCCUGCAGUUAGUACAUAGUUCCAAGCUUUGUUUUCUGCUUCAGAUGAAAACAGAGGGUUUGAAUGUGACACUAAUCAUUAUAAAAGAUGAAGGAAAAUAUCUGUGCUUCCACGAAGGGGAGGUUCCCAUCCCUUCUAGGGCUCUCCUCACUUCCUUGAUUAGAACCAGCCUGAGGUAUACUCUCCUAAAAUGUGUGUGUUUUAACUACCUGGAUCCACACUUGAAUCUAUACUUGCUAACAUGAAGACUUCCUGAGCAAGCCAAGUCCCUCCAUGAAAGCUGACAGAGGAUUCACUAUGCCUUGAGUAAUUUGUAAAGGAUGAGUGAACUGAGAAAAGCCAGCUGUCUGACAACAGGAUUAAAGUUGUUAGUCUGGACUGUCUGCACAACCAAUGUAUCAGGGUCAAAAAAAAAGCAGAAAAUUACCAACAACAAGUGUAUGUUGUCAAUGAUCCUACUUUGGUCUCCCAAGUCUAGUAACCCUAGAUGUGCACUGCUUGCAUGGAUCUGAGAUAGAAGACAAAAUGAAAGAAAUAGGAACAAUAACUGGAUUUAAAUGGCAAAGAAGUAAGCAAGGAAAACAAAAUAAUACAAGAGCUAGACAAAAUG
This 1290-nucleotide long non-coding RNA is filed under the name Coturnix japonica (Japanese quail). Its description in RNAcentral is "lncRNA (ENSCJPG00005009928.1)". Lineage: Eukaryota; Metazoa; Chordata; Aves; Galliformes; Phasianidae. The record is from RNAcentral.